RNAcentral lists this transfer RNA (70 nucleotides) under Ovis aries (sheep). It matches the Rfam family "tRNA". From Rfam's summary of the family: Transfer RNA (tRNA) molecules are approximately 80 nucleotides in length. Their secondary structure includes four short double-helical elements and three loops (D, anti-codon, and T loops). Lineage: Eukaryota; Metazoa; Chordata; Mammalia; Artiodactyla; Bovidae. The record is from Rfam by way of RNAcentral.
CUGACUCUGGUUAAGUGGUUAAGACUCUGCACUUCCAAUGCAGGGGACACAGGUUUGAUCCCUGGUCAGG